RNAcentral lists this ribosomal RNA (615 nucleotides) under uncultured eukaryote. RNAcentral describes it as "bacterial SSU rRNA". It matches the Rfam family "Eukaryotic small subunit ribosomal RNA", at positions 3 to 704 of the family's 1831-position model. The record is from RNAcentral.
CCUGGUUGAUCCUGCCAGUAGUGAUAUGCUUGUCUAAAAGAUUAAGCCAUGCAUGCGGGAGUGUAGCUCUUAAUGGGCAGGACUGCGAACGGCUCCUUAUAACAGUUUGAAAGUAUUCAGUUGAAAUGCAUUUAACAGUGGAAAAUCUAGUGCUAAUGUGCAUGUUGCUGGACUUGGUUAUUGACUUACCAGUUCAGAAAAGUGUUUACACGCAUCUGAGUUUCAAUCUGUCCUAUCAGCGAGGAGGUCAGGUAACGGCAGACCUCCGCUCUUACGGGUAACGGGGGAUUAGGGUUUGAUUCCGGAGAGGGAGCCUGAGAAAUUGCUACUACGUCUAAGGAAGGCAGCAGGCGCGUAAAUUACCCACUUAUCAGAAAUAGAGGUAGUGACAAGAAAUGUAAUCUCUGGAUUUUCUAGAGGAUAUGAGUCUGCACCGUAGUUUAGUGCGUGAUUGUAAUUGGAGGGCAAGUCUGGUGCCAGCAGCCGCGGUAAUUCCAGCUCCAAGAGCAUAUAUUAAAGUUGUUGCGGUUAAAACGCUCGUAGUUGAUUACUUUUUAUUCAUUCUGAAUAAAUGCUUUGACCAAAGACAAACGCUUCAAGUGCUCUCUAGAUGAU